RNAcentral lists this long non-coding RNA (1489 nucleotides) under Manihot esculenta (cassava). RNAcentral describes it as "long non-coding RNA (MESC_LNC003499)". Lineage: Eukaryota; Viridiplantae; Streptophyta; Magnoliopsida; Malpighiales; Euphorbiaceae. The record is from RNAcentral.
AAGAGCUUUCUUGUAACAUGGCAACUACUUUGUUUACUUUUGUUUUAUAUCCAGGGGAAGUUAUUGCGCCAUUCCCCUUGUAAAUUCCGCAACAUACUUUACUCCUUGCUUUUUGCUUUUGUUCAACUAUGAAUAAACAACUUUUUUAAUGCAUAUUUGUAGCAUCAUAACUUAAAUACUAAAUAACAUCAUAUGGAACAGUUUUCCUUCUCCAAAAUGAAAAAGCAAUUGCGAGCUGGCAAUAACGAUAACAGGAAAAAUGGACGGCCAAAUCCAUACUUACACUCCUGUGCAAUUUGGCAUAUUAAAUUGUUGAAAUAAAUCAAAACCUACCUGCACUUUAGAUCAUAACUUAUCAUUGAUACUAUAAAUACAAAUUAGCUGUGCCAUUUAUGACUUGUAAAAGAGUUCCAGUUAUUGCUGACUGCGCUCUAAAUUUUGCUCAUUAUACUCUAAAUUUUCAUAAAAUGACGGUGAUUCUAGACUUACAGAGGGUAACUAUUUCAUUUUAUGAAAAUUUAUAACACAAUCUGCAAAAUCUAGAAUGUAAUCAAUAAUUAGUGGUACAAUUCAUUAGGCCAUGGCUAAACUGCGUUUAAUUGCUACAAUUUGUGCAGGUUCAGGUAUUCUAUAGGUUACAAUAAAUGAGUUGGUCCCAAAUAGUAAUGCGGUAUAAAUAUAUUUUUAGUAGAAAAGGGACACUAUUUUGUCAUAUCAUCACAUACAAACUGGUCCAUCUUAACACAUCCAUAAUACUCCUGGUCCAUCUUAACACGUCCAUAAUACUCUUAUUAUGACAUGCAAUAUACCGGGGUAAUACGGAUACCACAGUAUUCUGGAAAUGGACAGGUAAACCAAAUCAUGAGGCAAUUACAGAUCCUUGGCUGCAUAACAUAGCAACAUAAAGUACCAGAUUGAAUCUCUGAAAUGCCUCCGUUCAUUGUACUUAUCCUGAGGCUCAUCACAUUGCAGAAAACCCAUGCAACCCAACUUCCACAAGGUUCCUCUUAUUUUUCUUCCCUCAUGCCCUCCCCCACAUCCCCCAAAAGCAACCACACCACUCAGGGUAUUUUCAGCCUGUUACUUGCCGACUUGUCCGGUAAGCAGUGUUCCAAGAGUUCCUUGGGAUUUUGGAAGUGUUCCAUAGUGAUUUAAAACAGCAACAUGAAAAUUUCAGAAGAACAAAAAAGAAAUGGCAUUUGCUUCAAAUAUGAGCUAGUUGAUACAUAUUUUCAGACCCAGGAUAACUAGAGAAAGGAAACAUAUGAAAACUUUCCAAUAAAAGAUAAUUAGACCAGCAAAACUGCAGAUAAUUUGUGAAUGAUUUGAUUCAUAUAUGCAUACAAUAUUAAGAGCAGCAUGUCACAAUCAAUAUUACUAAAGAAUACAAUAGCCUGUGGCUAUUUCCAGUAAAAUACACAAAGUAGGAAAAGGACAUUAUAAAAAUAUAAUUGAUCUAAGAAGGGAAAAAAGAACUAUAAAACAUAUG